UCGCUGUUGGAUGGGCCCGCGGCUGAUUAGCUUGUUGGUGAGGUAACGGCUCACCAAGGCGACGAUCAGUAGCUGGUCUGAGAGGAUGAUCAGCCACACUGGGACUGAGACACGGCCCAG
This 120-nucleotide ribosomal RNA is filed under the name uncultured bacterium. Its description in RNAcentral is "partial 16S ribosomal RNA". It matches the Rfam family "Bacterial small subunit ribosomal RNA", at positions 215 to 334 of the family's 1533-position model. The record is from RNAcentral.